CCCGUCUUAGCUCAGUUGGAAGAGCAUAAGACUGUAAUGUGAUUGACAUCUUAGGGUCCUCGGUUCGAUCCCGAGAGACGGGA
Non-coding RNA from Globomyces sp. JEL0801, 83 nucleotides. Lineage: Eukaryota; Fungi; Chytridiomycota; Chytridiomycetes; Rhizophydiales; Globomycetaceae. The record is from the annotation of a GenBank genome assembly.